This 1155-nucleotide long non-coding RNA is filed under the name Oncorhynchus mykiss (rainbow trout). RNAcentral describes it as "lncRNA (ENSOMYG00000070699.1)". The record is from RNAcentral. Lineage: Eukaryota; Metazoa; Chordata; Actinopteri; Salmoniformes; Salmonidae.
AUGCUGGGAAAUAGCUACAGAGUAGGUGGUGUGCCUCAGCCCAGCCAGUGUACCCAUUCCAGGAUUUCGUCACUGCCUUGGGAGGUGGAACUACUUGCAACAGCAGUUUAUUAUUUUUUUCUUUCUCCUUCUCUCACUCCCCCACUACCACUGUGUGUCUCACUGUGUGUCUCACUCCCCCACUACCACUGUGUCUCACUCCCCCACUACCACUGUGUGUCUCACUGUGUGUCUCACUCCCCCACUACCACUGUGUGUCUCACUGUGUGUCUCACUCCCCCACUACCACUGUGUGUCUCACUGUGUGUCUCACUCCCCCACUACCACUGUGUGUCUCACUGUGUGUCUCACUCCCCCACUACCACUGUGUGUCUCACUGUGUGUCUCACUGUGUGUCUCACUCCCCCACUACCACUGUGUGUCUCACUGUGUGUCUCACUCCCCCACUACCACUGUGUGUCUCACUGUGUGUCUCACUCCCCCACUACCACUGUGUGUCUCACUGUGUGUCUCACUGUGUGUCUCACUCCCCCACUACCACUGUGUGUCUCACUGUGUGUCUCACUGUGUGUCUCACUCCCCCACUACCACUGUGUGUCUCACUGUGUGUCUCACUCCCCCACUACCACUGUGUCUCACUCCCCCACUACCACUGUGUGUCUCACUGUGUGUCUCACUGUGUGUCUCACUCCCCCACUACCACUGUGUGUCUCACUGUGUGUCUCACUCCCCCACUACCACUGUGUGUCUCACUGUGUGUCUCACUCCCCCACUACCACUGUGUGUCUCACUGUGUGUCUCACUCCCCCACUACCACUGUGUGUCUCACUGUGUGUCUCACUGUGUGUCUCACUGUGUGUCUCACUCCCCCACUACCACUGUGUGUCUCACUGUGUGUCUCACUGUGUGUCUCACUCCCCCACUACCACUGUGUGUCUCACUGUGUGUCUCACUGUGUGUCUCACUCCCCCACUACCACUGUGUGUCUCACUGUGUGUCUCACUCCCCCACUACCACUGUGUGUCACACUGUGUGUCUCACUGUGUGUCUCACUGUGUGUCUCACUGUAGUAGAGACCAACUCACUGGAUGUUUAGAUAUAGGUUUUUUUUGUGACUGGUUGUGUUCAGUACCACAUGAUUUUCAGUGGUUCUAA